Molecule: ribosomal RNA, 467 nt
Filed under: uncultured bacterium
Lineage: Bacteria
Description: bacterial SSU rRNA
Rfam family: Bacterial small subunit ribosomal RNA
Source: RNAcentral
GACGAACGCUGGCGGCGUGCCUAGCACAUGCAAGUCGAGCGGGGUCCAUCCAGUGGCAACACUGGGGAAGACCUAGCGGCGAACGGGUGAGUAACACGUGAGGAACUUGCCCCGGAGUACGGGAUAACUCGAGGAAACUCGAGCUAAUACCGUAUGCCCUCUUCUGGUCGCAUGGCCGGAUGAGGAAAGAUUUAUCGCUCCGGGAGAGCCUCGCGGCCUAUCAGCUAGUUGGUGGGGUAACGGCCCACCAAGGCAUCGACGGGUAGCUGGUCUGAGAGGACGAUCAGCCACACUGGGACUGAGACACGGCCCAGACUCCUACGGGAGGCAGCAGUGGGGAAUCUUGCGCAAUGGGCGAAAGCCUGACGCAGCAACGCCGCGUGCGGGAUGAAGGCCUUCGGGUUGUAAACCGCUUCAGCAGGGAAGAAACUGACGGUACCUGCAGAAGAAGCCCGGCCAACUACGUG